Molecule: unclassified non-coding RNA, 148 nt
Organism: Macaca fascicularis (crab-eating macaque)
Lineage: Eukaryota; Metazoa; Chordata; Mammalia; Primates; Cercopithecidae
Rfam family: Metazoan signal recognition particle RNA
About the family: The signal recognition particle (SRP) is a universally conserved ribonucleoprotein. It is involved in the co-translational targeting of proteins to membranes. The eukaryotic SRP consists of a 300-nucleotide 7S RNA and six proteins: SRPs 72, 68, 54, 19, 14, and 9.
Source: Ensembl
GCUGGGCAUGGUGGCAUGUGCCUGUAGUCCUAGCUACUUGGGAGGCUGAGGUGGGAGGAUCGCUUGAGCCCAGGAGGUCAGGGCUGCAGGGGGCCAUAAUCAUGCCUGUGCACCCCAGCCUGGGUGACAGAGUGAGACCCUGUCUCAA